This 253-nucleotide ribosomal RNA is filed under the name uncultured bacterium. Its description in RNAcentral is "partial 16S ribosomal RNA". It matches the Rfam family "Bacterial small subunit ribosomal RNA", at positions 524 to 776 of the family's 1533-position model. The record is from RNAcentral.
GACGGAGGGUGCUAGCGUUGUUCGGAAUGACUGGGCGUAAAGGGCGCGUAGGCGGCCGCUUGCGUCGGAUGUGAAAGCCCGGGGCUCAACCCCGGAACGGCAUCCGAUACGGGGCGGCUCGAGACCGAGAGAGGUGAGUGGAAUACCCAGUGUAGAGGUGAAAUUCGUAGAUAUUGGGUGGAACACCGGUGGCGAAAGCGGCUCACUGGCUCGGUACUGACGCUGAGGUGCGAAAGCGUGGGGAGCAAACAGG